RNAcentral lists this ribosomal RNA (399 nucleotides) under uncultured bacterium. Its description in RNAcentral is "bacterial SSU rRNA". It matches the Rfam family "Bacterial small subunit ribosomal RNA", at positions 29 to 458 of the family's 1533-position model. The record is from RNAcentral.
AACGAACGCUGGCGGCAGGCCUAACACAUGCAAGUCGAACGCCCCGCAAGGGGAGUGGCAGACGGGUGAGUAACACGUGGGAACCUUCCCUAUAGUACGGAAUAGCCCAGGGAAACUUGGAGUAAUACCGUAUACGCCCGCAAGGGGAAAGAAUUUCGCUAUAGGAUGGGCCCGCGUAGGAUUAGCUAGUUGGUGAGGUAACGGCUCACCAAGGCGACGAUCCUUAGCUGGUUAGAGAGAACGACCAGCCACACUGGGACUGAGACACGGCCCAGACUCCUACGGAGGCAGCAGUGGGGAAUAUUGGACAAUAGGGCGGCAAGCCUGAUCCAGCCAUGCCGCGUGAGUGAUGAAGGCCUUAGGGUUGUAAAGCUCUUUUGCCGGGACGAUAAUGACGGU